UACGUAGGGUGCGAGCGUUGUCCGGAAUUAUUGGGCGUAAAGAGCUUGUUGGCGGUUUGUCGCGUCUGCUGUGAAAAUCCGGGGCUCAACCCCGGACUUGCAGUGGGUACGGGCAGACUAGAGUGUGGUAGGGGAGACUGGAAUUCCUGGUGUAGCGGUGAAAUGCGCAGAUAUCAGGAGGAACACCGAUGGCGAAGGCAGGUCUCUGGGCCACUACUGACGCUGAGAAGCGAAAGCAUGGGGAGCGAACAGG
This 253-nucleotide ribosomal RNA is filed under the name uncultured bacterium. RNAcentral describes it as "partial 16S ribosomal RNA". It matches the Rfam family "Bacterial small subunit ribosomal RNA", at positions 524 to 776 of the family's 1533-position model. The record is from RNAcentral.